This 483-nucleotide ribosomal RNA is filed under the name uncultured bacterium. Its description in RNAcentral is "partial 16S ribosomal RNA". It matches the Rfam family "Bacterial small subunit ribosomal RNA", at positions 28 to 523 of the family's 1533-position model. The record is from RNAcentral.
GAUGAACGCUGGCGGCGUGCCUAAUACAUGCAAGUCGAGCGAACCACUUCGGUGGUGAGCGGCGAACGGGUGAGUAACACGUAGGUGAUCUGCCCAUCAGACGGGGACAACGAUCGGAAACGAUCGCUAAUACCGGAUAGGACGAAAGUUUAAAGGUGCUUCUGGCACCGCUGAUGGAUGAGCCUGCGGCGCAUUAGCUAGUUGGUAGGGUAAAGGCCUACCAAGGCGACGAUGCGUAGCCGACCUGAGAGGGUGAACGGCCACACUGGGACUGAGACACGGCCCAGACUCCUACGGGAGGCAGCAGUAGGGAAUCUUCGGCAAUGGGUGAAAGCCUGACCGAGCAACGCCGCGUGAAUGAUGAAGGCCUUCGGGUUGUAAAAUUCUGUUAUAAGGGAAGAACGACUUUAGUAGGAAAUGGCUAGAGAGUGACGGUACCUUAUGAGAAAGCCACGGCUAACUACGUGCCAGCCGCCGCGGUAA